Molecule: ribosomal RNA, 501 nt
Filed under: uncultured bacterium
Lineage: Bacteria
Description: partial 16S ribosomal RNA
Rfam family: Bacterial small subunit ribosomal RNA
Source: RNAcentral
GAUGAACGCUAGCGACAGGCUUAACACAUGCAAGUCGAGGGGCAUCAUGAGGUAGCAAUACCUUGAUGGCGACCGGCGCACGGGUGAGUAACGCGUAUGCAACCUGCCCGAUACCGGGGUAUAGCCCAUGGAAACGUGGAUUAACACCCCAUAGUACUUUUAUCCUGCCUGGGAUGGGAGUUAAAUGUUCAAGGUAUCGGAUGGGCAUGCGUCCUAUUAGUUAGUUGGCGGGGUAACAGCCCACCAAGACGAUGAUAGGUAGGGGUUCUGAGAGGAAGGUCCCCCACAUUGGAACUGAGACACGGUCCAAACGCCUACGGGAGGCAGCAGUGAGGAAUAUUGGUCAAUGGACGUAAGUCUGAACCAGCCAAGUCGCGUGAGGGAAGACUGCCCUAUGGGUUGUAAACCUCUUUUAUAAGGGAAGAAUAAGUUCUACGUGUAGAAUGAUGCCUGUACCUUAUGAAUAAGCAUCGGCUAACUCCGUGCCAGCCGCCGCGGUAA